Molecule: long non-coding RNA, 412 nt
Organism: Passer domesticus (house sparrow)
Lineage: Eukaryota; Metazoa; Chordata; Aves; Passeriformes; Passeridae
Exons: 3
Source: RefSeq, a predicted model, not a curated record
CUGGCUGAGGAACACCGUGGAGGCUGGCAGAACACACACCACUAGAAGAAGGCCCAGGCCAAGCAUCAUGACAAGAUGGUUAUGAUAAGGAAACUGUGAAUUACUCCACCACACCUCAGAAUGCUCCAACCUAACAGCUUCACUAAGAUGUUUACAGAGACAGAAGUUGCAUUAUGAAAACUGUAUCUAAAAAGUCUCAAGAAAUGGGGCUCUGCAGUUUUUUCCCCUAUGGGCCAGAGUCUGUUCCUUCCUUGGUGUUGCCCCACAGUCAUUCCAUCCCUUUUCAGAGGACAUCAGUACAUCCUGCUAAUGUUUUACAUGCAUGCAGACAGCAUGGAUGGGUGAAUUAAUUUCAUCACUUGAUCAGGCAUUCAUGGAAGUAGAAGACCAGAAGGACCUUUUUACCUUAAGG